CUCAAGCAGACUCCCUGCUGAGUGCGGAGUUGGAGGGGCUUAAUCUCAGAUACAUGGUUUGCAAAUAUUUUCCCCUUUCUGUAGGUUGUCUUUUCACUUUCUUGAUAAUACCUUUUGCACAGAAGUGUUUAAUUUUUGAUGAAGUCCAAUUUAUCUUUUUUAUUUUGUCUUGUUUUUCUUGCUUUGGGUGGUAUAUUUAAGAAUCCACUACCAAAUCCAAGAGCAUGAGGAUAUUUCUUCUCUGUUUUUCUUCCAAGAAUUUUAUCAGUUUAGCUGUUACAUAUGGGUCAUUGACCUGCUGGAAUUGGUUCUGCGGUUCUACAUUUGCAAAGGAAAGACAAGAGUUCAACCCAUUUCCACUCCUCUCUUUCAAGAAAAAAGAAAAAAGAACAAGGACAAAUAAUGGCUCAAACAGAGCAUGACAGGAAGCUUACAAUUUCAUGUACUGUACUCACCGUGAACACCGACCCCAGUCUUGCUGCGGCUUUGUCAGAAUCCAGUACCUGCGAACCAGCCCGGCAAAGGCAUGUGGGUGAAAUCCAUGCAGAAUCCGUGAAGAGGUGAUCGUUCUCAACCCUGGCUUCACAUCAGCAUCAACUGAAGAGAUUAAAAACUAAGCCCACCACAGACUAAGUGAAAUUAUUCUACCUGAGUAAAGUCGGGCAUGAUUUUGUAAAUCUCAACGUUAGAACCAAUGAUUUAAAGGGAAUGGAAAUUUAUUGUUCAUUUAAGGCUGUGCAUAUGCAUAACCUGGGAUCUUGUUAAAAUGCAUAUUCUUACUCAAAAAGUAACUCAGAAUGGAUCCAAGACCUAAAUGUAAGAGUUAAAACUAUGAAACUCAGAAGAAACAAGGUAUAAAUCUUGUUUCUGCUGCCCAGUCCAACUACUUUGGACUGGGCAGUAGUUUUUCAGAGAUGACACCAAAAAGGCAACCAAUGAAAAAUAAGUUGGACUUCAGCAAACUUUAACUUCUGUGCUUUUAAAGUUGUUCAAGUAAACAAACCCUACAGGAUUGGCAGAUGAUGUGUUUGUUAAGAAUCUAGUAUCCAGGAUAUGUAAAGAACUCUCACAAGGUAACACUAAAAAGAGGAAAAAAACAACUUAAAAAGGCAACAAAGGAUUUGAAUAGACAUUUCUCCAAAGAUGAUAAGCAAAUGGCCAAAUAAGCACCUGAAAAGAUGUUCAACAUCAUUAGGGAAAUGCACAUGGAAACCUUAGUGAGAUGUCACUUCACACUUGCUAGGGUGGCUGUAGUCACAGAGAAGUGACAAGUGUUGGGUAGAUUGCUGGUGGGAAUGUAAAAUGGUACGUCUACUUGGAAACCAGCUCAGCAGUCUUUUCAAAGGUUAGCCACAGGAGCCCCAACUACAGAGGGAAGUGGUACAGAUUCCCGGAGGUUAAUCCACUAGCUGUUACUCAACCCUCUGACCUCAGAGUAUACCAACUACUGCAACCUGACCCUUCACUUAAGAUGGAAGAAAGCCUACCAAAUUCUCACUUGAGAAUGGAAAUUCAAGUUAAACUCUCUGAGCUCUGCUAGUGUCUUAAAGAUAAAUGUGUCCCCAACUACUUCAAAUCUAGGCCUGAAAGACCCUGUUGACAGUGAUUUCUGCCAAAUAGAGGGAAGAAAAGCAGUGCCUGUCAAGUAGGCCAGGAGCUGGCCUACUACUAGAAGCAAGGUCUCUUUGUCCUGCUGAAUAAUUUUGCAGAAUAUCUACAUGCCUACCAAGACUGUGACCAAAGUCAAAAGAUGAAUUUUGUAAUUGUGCCUGGACACAGAAAAACAUGAAUGUCUGUUUCACAAAAAUGACCAUAUACCUCCCUGUUCUGAACACUUGAUGAAUGAUAGCUUUUAGCCUCAGUUCAUUUCUCUCACCUUACGAAGAUACCCAGUCAUUCCCUACUUCCUCCACAGCUUCCUUGAAUCCCCCCUUAACUCACCUACUGUGUCCAAAACAUAAGUCCUUUUGUGACCUCUUACUGAAACCACCCCCCCCAUGGUUCUGGAAGUCUGUCCUCUGUUAUGCAACAAGCAAUAAACCCCAACUUGUAUGAUGA
This is a long non-coding RNA of Lutra lutra (Eurasian river otter), 2058 nucleotides long. RefSeq lists it as uncharacterized. The record is from RefSeq and is a predicted model, not a curated record. NCBI's taxonomy places the organism in Eukaryota, Metazoa, Chordata, Mammalia, Carnivora, Mustelidae. The transcript has 2 exons.